UACGAAGGGGGCUAGCGUUGCUCGGAAUCACUGGGCGUAAAGCGCACGUAGGCGGAUUGCUAAGUCAGGGGUGAAAUCCUGGAGCUCAACUCCAGAACUGCCCUUGAUACUGGCGGUCUCGAGUCCGGGAGAGGUGAGUGGGACUGCGAGUGUAGAGGUGAAAUUCGUAGAUAUUCGCAAGAACACCAGUGGCGAAGGCGGCUCACUGGCCCGGUACUGACGCUGAGGUGCGAAAGCGUGGGGAGCAAACAGG
This 253-nucleotide ribosomal RNA is filed under the name uncultured bacterium. Its description in RNAcentral is "partial 16S ribosomal RNA". It matches the Rfam family "Bacterial small subunit ribosomal RNA", at positions 524 to 776 of the family's 1533-position model. The record is from RNAcentral.